UAAUACCGGAUACGACACCAACGGGCAUCCGUAUGGUGUGGAAAGUUUUUCGGUCUGGGAUGGACUCGCGGCCUAUCAGCUUGUUGGUGAGGUAGUGGCUCACCAAGGCGACGACGGGUAGCCGGCCUGAGAGGGCGACCGGCCACACUGGGACUGAGACACGGCCCAGACUCCUACGGGAGGCAGCAGUGGGGAAUAUUGCACAAUGGGCGAAAGCCUGAUGCAGCGACGCCGCGUGAGGGAUGACGGCCUUCGGGUUGUAAACCUCUUUCAGCAGGGAAGAAGCGCAAGUGACGGUACCUGCAGAAGAAGCACCGGCUAACUACGUGC
RNAcentral lists this ribosomal RNA (330 nucleotides) under uncultured Dietzia sp. RNAcentral's name for it is "bacterial SSU rRNA". It matches the Rfam family "Bacterial small subunit ribosomal RNA", at positions 164 to 508 of the family's 1533-position model. Lineage: Bacteria; Bacillati; Actinomycetota; Actinomycetes; Mycobacteriales; Dietziaceae. The record is from RNAcentral.